RNAcentral lists this ribosomal RNA (468 nucleotides) under uncultured bacterium. RNAcentral's name for it is "partial 16S ribosomal RNA". It matches the Rfam family "Bacterial small subunit ribosomal RNA", at positions 28 to 507 of the family's 1533-position model. The record is from RNAcentral.
GACGAACGCUGGCGGCGUGCUUAACACAUGCAAGUCGAACGGAAAGGCCCUGCUUUUGUGGGGUGCUCGAGUGGCGAACGGGUGAGUAACACGUGAGUAACCUGCCCUUGACUUUGGGAUAACUUCAGGAAACUGGGGCUAAUACCGGAUAGGAGCUCCUGCUGCAUGGUGGGGGUUGGAAAGUUUCGGCGGUUGGGGAUGGACUCGCGGCUUAUCAGCUUGUUGGUGGGGUAGUGGCUUACCAAGGCUUUGACGGGUAGCCGGCCUGAGAGGGUGACCGGCAACAUUGGGACUGAGAGACGGCCCAGACUCAUACGGGAGGCAGCAGUGGGGAAUAUUGCACAAUGGGCGGAAGCCUGAUGCAGCAACGCCGCGUGCGGGAUGACGGCCUUCGGGUUGUAAACCGCUUUCGCCUGUGACGAAGCGUGAGUGACGGUAAUGGGUAAAGAAGCACCGGCUAACUACGUG